RNAcentral lists this ribosomal RNA (356 nucleotides) under uncultured organism. Its description in RNAcentral is "bacterial LSU rRNA". It matches the Rfam family "Bacterial large subunit ribosomal RNA", at positions 2099 to 2465 of the family's 2925-position model. The record is from RNAcentral.
CUUUACUCUAGCUUGGCACUGAGUCGUACAUAUAUUUGUGCAGGAUAGGUGGGAGACUAUGAAAGAUGGACGCCAGUUCAUCUCGAGUCGUCGUUGAGAUACCACCCUUGUAUAUGUAUGCCUCUAACCCCUUUUUGGGGGACCGUGCUUGGUGGGGAGUUUAACUGGGGCGGUUGCCUCCUAAAACGUAACGGAGGCGCACAAAGGUAGGCUAGGUCCGGAUGGAAAUCGGACUGGUCGUGUAUUCGCACAAGCCUGCUUGACUGAGAGACCUACAAGUCGAUCAGAGACGAAAGUCGGUGAAAGUGAUCCGGCACCAACAUGUGGGAGUGGUGUCGCUCAGCGGAUAAAAGUUA